This 394-nucleotide ribosomal RNA is filed under the name uncultured bacterium. RNAcentral's name for it is "partial 16S ribosomal RNA". It matches the Rfam family "Bacterial small subunit ribosomal RNA", at positions 523 to 918 of the family's 1533-position model. The record is from RNAcentral.
AUACGUAUGGGGCAAGCGUUAUCCGGAAUUAUUGGGCGUAAAGAGUGCGUAGGUGGUUACCUAAGCGCAAGGUUUAAUCUUGAGGCUCAACCUCAUUCUGCCUUGCGAACUGGGCUACUUGAGUGCAGGAGGGGAAAGCGGAAUUCCCAGUGUAGCGGUGAAAUGCGUAGAUAUUGGGAAGAACACCGGUGGCGAAGGCGGCUUUCGGGACUGUAACUGACACUGAGGCACGAAAGCGUGGGGAGCAAACAGGAUUAGAUCCCCUGGUAGUCCACGCCGUAAACGAUGAGCACUAGUUGUUGGGUACGAAUGUAUUCAGUGACGCAGUUAACACAAUAAGUAUCCCACCUGGGGAGUACGAUCGCAAGAUUGAAACUCAAAUGAAUUGACGGGG